RNAcentral lists this long non-coding RNA (8832 nucleotides) under Zea mays. RNAcentral's name for it is "long non-coding RNA (ZMAY_LNC000848)". Lineage: Eukaryota; Viridiplantae; Streptophyta; Magnoliopsida; Poales; Poaceae. The record is from RNAcentral.
CCUAUUCCCCUUUGUGGCCGCCACCCCCCUCUCUCUCCCUCUCCUUCUUCCCCAAGUGAUUGCAGCACCACCCCUCAACCCUAGCCCCCCCCUCCUCCUCUCCAUGGUGCAUCCUCCCCGCUUGGUACCCCGUCGUGUGGGUGCGAGUCUUCCAUUGGAGUUUGGAGGGAGGAAGAAGGAAGAAUGGAAGGAGGAAAGGAGGAACCCAAGGUGAUUUUAAGAUCAUUCUUUUUAGUAUUUGUGCUGCAAUCCAAUUGUUUACAUGUUUACCUAUGCGAAUCGGUAUAGGUGCUGUCCAGAUUUUUGUGGGAGAACGAACAGCAGUAGUUCUAGGGAUUUCUGGGAAUUUUUCGUGGGCAAUUAGUGGGGAUCAGUGGGAGAAUCAUAUAGAUCUUUGUCAUACCUUUCCAACGAGUACUUAUGCGCUCGAUUCGGAGUUAUAAUUUAGGAGAUAUCGUUGUUUGAAUCCGGUUAUGUUGCUGUCCAAAAAAAGAUAUUUUCAGGUGAAUGAACAGCAGUAGUAUUAGCAGUUUCUGGGGAUUUUUCGUGGGAAAUUAGUGAUAAUAAAUAUGAGAAUCAUGUAGAUCUUUGUCAUACCUUUCCAACGAGUACUUAUGCGCUCGAUUCGGAGUUAUAUUUUAGGAGAUAUCGUUGUUUGAAUCCGGUUAUGUUGCUGUCCAAAAAAAACAGAUUUUUCAGGUGGGUGAACAGCAGUAGUAUUAGCAGUUUCUGUGAAUUUUUCGUGGGUAAUUAGUGUUAACCAGUAUGAUAAUCAUGUAGGGAUUUGUCUUAUCUUUCUAAUGAGUACUUAUGCGCUUGAUUUGGAAUUAUAUUUUAAAAGAUAUCGCUGUUUGAAUCCGGGUAUGUCGCUGUCCAAAAGACAAAAAACAGAUUACAGGGUUCAUCUUGUGGACUGUUUUGGGCUAAUUAGAUAUUAGAAUUUAAUUAUAAAUUGUAUACAAAACUUGUGGGGCAUUUUAUGUAGAUGCCUCUGGAGUUUUUGUUUGUUACCACUGUUGUCAUAAUUUUAAAGUUAUGAAAUUAUUAAGCAGCGCCGCUGCAGUUUGGUGGGUGUGGGGAGAGAUGUAACCGCGGCGGGGUUUGAGUUUGUGCGUAGGUGCGGCGGGCUUUAUGAGCCUGAUUAUGUGAAAUAGGUGCACUAAGUUGUGUGUCAAAAACAGGUGGUGGACUUCCGGAUCGUACUUAGGGAUUUGCCCGAACUUCCGGUAAAGGCAAGUAAAUAUAGUGGUGGUUGCUACCGUUUGGUUUGCAUCCUAUUCCCUGUCAUUGAGUAUGCAUAAGUUUUUAAUUAUGUUAAUCAUUGAAUUCUAUGAUGAAGUUUAUUUGUUUUUUUGAAUCACGUUAUAUGAAGUGUUGUAGGCAUGACAUGCACAUCGCAUCAUCCAUCUUGCAUUUUGAAGUUAUGUCGUGAUCUUAUGGUCCGACCGUACCGGUACAUUUUUAGCAUCGUACGUUGCCCGAGGAGGGGUACGAUGCGGCUUCAUAUCCUUAGAGGUAUGAAGGCAGAAGUCAUCCUUGCAUUUGCAGACAUUUGCAUUCAUGAGGAAUAUAUGAAGUGUGACAUUACUAUGUUACUAUUGUGGUUUCUACCUACGAGGUGUGGUAACUAGGUGUGUUGUACGUUGUAUACGUGCUGCAUCUUGGUAAUAAGAAGGUUGUGGAAUCAGGUGGUGGUAAAACAAUGUUCUUAUGUGGUUGAAUAGUUUGAUAUUAUUUUACUUGCUGAGAUGUGUCAUCUCACUCUUGCAUUACUCAAUGCAGGUACUUGAUACAUGUUGGGAAUGAGGGGAGUAGCAGCACGUCCACUUACACUCUCACAAUAACGCUGCCCAGGCGCAGCCAUGAUUUAAUUAGAAACUUAUUGUCAAAGGAAGUUUGUUUUUUUUAUAUAGUCGUGCGCACUGGUUAAUUCAGUUCAGGUCGUACGUUUAUCUUCCCUUGCUAGCCGAUUAAUAAUACUUAGUAUGUUUUUGUCAUGAUAUAUGUUUAUACCCUGUUGCCCCCUUAUUUAUGCAAUCUUGCAAAGGGGAUGCUGCCGAAAUUUUAUAUAUGGACGUCAGAAGUGUAGUUCAGUAGCAUUCUGGGUUGUUUGUGGAACCCGGGGUGUUACAGUUGGUAUCAGAGGAUAGGCUUUAGAUUCUACGCAAUUUGAAGAUAAAUUUGACACACUUGCACAUAUAGGAAGGGUAUGGGUUCAUAUAUCUUUUAUAUUAGUUUUUUAUUGUAUAGAUGACUAGAAUUUCCUUACUCCAAAUCCCUUUAUGGUUUGAUGGGGUAUGUCGUUAACGACGUAAUGCUUGAUAUGAUAUGUUACUUCUAUUUAAUAUUGGUUUCUUGAUGUGGUUGUUAUUGAAAUUAUUAUGCAAGUGAAGCUACUAAUGUACUUGUUUUAUAUACAUAUCGUCAUAAUGUUGUUUUUGGAUGCAAUGUUUACUAAUCUCUGAGCUAUUACUAUCAUACAUUUCUGUAUGCUUGACUGUGGAUGUUUUAUUUUCCAAAAGGAUUCUUGGGUUCUAGUACUUAUAGGACCGAUUGUUUAUUGAGCUUGUGUAUAAAGGAUCUAUUCCGACUUGGUGUAGUGUGAAAACACUAUACAAUGUAGUUUUUUGGUGUUGUUGAGUUUGAUUGACUGUUGGGUUACAACCCAACUUAUCAAUGUAAUAUUUCCAUGGGUGCAGUGCUUUACACCUCACCUUUUUUUGGCUAGUGUGGCUACUUGCCAACUUGAUCUUAGAGUACAAUAGGUUUGUCUCCAUAGAGCAAAGGCAAUGUUGUACUGUCUAUGAAAUCUUGAGACUGGUAGAACUCAAGUGAAUUUGUAAGAUGACGUGGAUAGAUAAGUUCAACCAUGUUUACAUGAUAGGUUUUCUUAUUGUGUGCAACCUUAUCUUUAAUAAUAAAUAGGGUGAUUUCAAGUGGAUUUUAUGUCUAUAUUAUAGUUGAAGAGGCAUGCAUGUUUUCCUUCUAUGGUUUGUUUCUAUAGCCAAAAAGGUUAUGCAUAAUUUUUAUUUGUUGGAGGCUAGUCAUGUGGACGAUAUGGACAACCCGUUUUAUAUUGUUUUUAAUCGCCGAUGAUAUAUGGUAGUUUUUUUAUAUGAUUAGUUCUCUAUGCAUGCUUGUUAAAUUAUCAUUUGGACCGCUUUAUCUUAAACAAAGUCAAUGUUUAACUGGAAGUUGCUUAUGUUUGUUAGUCCUCUAUCUCUAUAAUGAUGUGGUUGUUGCAUCAGAUGGAGAUUUUUUUAUAUGAAUGAUGGUUUGAUAGAUCAUGUAUGUCUUCUACUUUGAAGUCAUCCUAUGACAUCACGAGGUACAAAUUGUUCAAGUGCAAUAAUAGGAGGUAUUGUUGUAUGUGAGGUUAAUCAAGGUAGUUUGGUUAGGUGGAUUGUCUUAUUGAAGUCCAAUUACCCCUGUUGAGCAUAGUAUCGUGAUAUUAUUUUAGUGUUGAAAGUAAUAUUUAUGAUGCUUAUGCAUGAGUCUGUGUCAAGAAGUACAUUAGUUUUUCUUGUUGUUAUCCCUCCAUUGCUUUAUGAGUAUUGCAAAUUUUAUCUCUUUUGAGAGGAGAAAAAGAUGUUAUAUGACAUGAGCACCAUUUGCUUCACGUCAACAUAAUAGUUUUGGAAAUUUCUAGUAGUUGGAUUCUAGUGUAAUAACAACCAUGUUUUAUAGUGCUGGAGACGGGUAUGUCAGGUGUUUCAUACAUUGUCGAUACAGGGAUGUUUGACCUUAGUGGCAUUAACAAACGAGGUUGUUGAAUUCAUUGAUUGUUGUGCUUAGUGUUCUAACCUAUUUGGUAGAGCGUUAUUUAAAGACUUUGUGGAGUUACAUCCCAGUGUGGUAGUGGAAAAUCCUAGUGUUGAUUGCACCUGCCAAUGACUUGGGUUUCAUUUUAUAUUGUUUUUUUAUUGUUGAUAAUGUGUUGUUUGGUUUUGGGAGGCAUUUUAAAUUAGUUGGAGGCUGAAUCAGGCUUCACUUAUCUAGAAUGUUUUGUAGUAUGUUCCUUCAUCUUUCCAUAGGAUGUUUAAUCACCAUGUUUGGUCUAAACAUUUGGGAGAUAGGGGUUUCUUAAAACAUCCUUGUUGGUGUCUCUAGCAGAGUGAGUCUUUAAUUUUGUACGGAAGUGUAGACAUUGAAGACGGUAUAAUUUGGUCUUUGUGGAUUAUGAAAGUUUUAGUAAUUUCAUGAUCUUUUCAAAGAGUAUUGGUUUCUAAUUCUCAUUGCAUAUAAUUGGAGUUAGGUUGCUCUGAAGUUGUUGCACUGUUGUGUCUGAACUUUAGGCAUCGUUAUAAUCACCAAUAAAUCGACCGCAUUUUGAUAGUUGCAGAGCCCAAAUUUGCGAAUUCUCUUGAAGCAAAACUUGUAGGUCUUUUCAGUACCUUUUUAAUGGGUAUUUACUUGUAACUGUCUGUUAAAUAGAUUUGGAGAGGUGGUUGCCCGGAUAUAAGUCGAAUCUCUAAUGUGCAGUAUCUCAGGCUGAGUUUAGCUGUAGGUCAUGCAGAGUUGAGGGCUAUAAGGAUAAAUUUGGGUGCAACUUUAUUGCAAAAGUCGUGGACAAUUUUCAAAACUUUUCCAACGCGUGUUCGUUGUAGUUUAAGUUGUGUAUAGCAGGAGUUAUAAGUUUUUGAAUAUUAGUUGUCCAUUGUUUCAAUCCUAUCGGUUUUGCAACAAAAGAGUUGCUUUGUUUUAUCAGUUUGGAAACCAAUUCCAAGACACUCAUUAUAAUAAGAGUUCUAGGGAAUGUUAUAAUCUUUUCAAUGAGUUUAUAUUUGCAAAAUUUUGUUAGCUGCAGGGAGUUAUGAUAUAAUGUAUAGAAUGUGCUUGGAUGAAUAUGUGGGCAGACAUAACAUGUUUAAAUUGAUUCUUGUUUGCAUGAUGUGAGAUUAGGCCUAAAUGGUUUAAAAAGUUAUCAUAUUGCUUCUAUACUUAUAUUUGUUCUAGGUGUCUCGUAAUGAAGAACCUAAAGUUAUUAGUCUUUCAAUGACCACUUAAUCUUAGAAGAGUAAUGAACCUGAUAAAAUCUAUUGCUUGUUGCUGGGAUUGCAUGACCAGUUUUAGUUAUGCAGCUAGUUCAAUGAAGUAAACCAUCUUUUCUGUAGAGAUGUUAUAUAUAAAAGUUGUAGCCAACUUCUUUAUCUUACUUGUGUAAAAAUUUCAUGACCAUAGGUCUAGAAGUUUGGGAGUUAUGAUUUUCUCAAGUCCAGUCUUGAAAUCUGUGCAGAUUCUGUACAGAUUUCGAAGCUGACCUUGUUUGCCCAAUUUAAACUUCGAAUAACUUAUUAUAAAUUAUAAAGAAGUUGUAGUACUCUUCUUAAUCUUUUCAACAAAUUUUGGAUUACCUUUUUUGGAGAUCUAUAAGUUAAGUUACAGCUGUUUUAAGUGUGAUCUCUGAAUCUGUCCAAAUUUGGACAGCAGAGCCUUUCUCGUGUCUUUUGACCUUGAUAUGCAUUGAAUUAACUUGAUAUGUUUACAAAUGAAUUAUAGACAAUUCUACUAGCUUUCUAAAAAGUCUGGGAGCACCUGAAUUGGAUGAUUGAGACUCCAAUUAUGGAUUUCUGAAUUGAGUAGUUGAAUUAUGUCCAAGUCUGGACAGAAUUUACGUUUAGCAUUGUUUGACCUUUCUAAGUGUCAAAUCUUGUUGUGAUGAUAAUACCAAGGGUAUAGUGGACUUUAUAAGCUUUCCAUAAAGUCCUAGUUUACUAAUUUUCGAUGCAUAUUCUGUGAGUUAGGAGCAAAAUAAUUAACCGUUGUGUUGUUGUCUAGAAAUAUGCAAGCAUUAAGUUGCUCUCUUGAAGUUGCUCUUGUUUAGCUAAGUUUUGUUUAGGCUAUAGGAACACUAUAUGAAUUGCAUUAAUAUAUACAUUCAUUGAAGUACUUGCAUGUGUCAAUAUUGAUUUGGUGUCUAGAAAGCUUUGUCCGAGGUAUAAAGGACCGUCUACUAUCUUAGCCGAGGUGGCAGCUGGGCUUAUCACUUGCAAUUGUCGGAAUCUAUGAUCAGAGUACACCAUGUAUUCCAUGUAUUUAUGUUGAGGAAGUAUUUGUGGAAUCCAGACCAUCUAAUCGAGCUAGAGCCGAUUCCCGUGUAGCAAGACCAGACUCUUGAGUGACGUCUGCUGCGUAUCUUAGAAUCCUAGGAACUUGAGGAGCUGAUGCGGCAGAAGUACCCAAACUUUUUCGUUAUGUGUGAGUUUUGUUGAUUCAUUAAUCUUUUUUUUGUCAUUCCGAUAGAAGCGUCGGAAUUCGAGGUCGAAUUCUUUUUAAGGAGGGUAGAGUGUGAUACCCAAUUUCCAAAAGGAAGAGAAAUUGAAGAUUAUUCUUUUUUUCCUUGUUUUCUCUUCCGGGUCCUGUGCUACAGGGGUUUGGAACUUUUAGGAAGCAUUCACUAGUAAAACAGUAGAAUUCUUGUUGGACUGGUGCCCUGGGAUCGGGAACGGACGUGAGAGCGAGUUUGGGCCGUGGAUCUCGAUCCGGCGGUGGGGAGCCCAUUAGUUCUCCCCCCUUAACCCUAGCCGCCCCCUCCCCUAUUCCCCUUUGGUUGCAGCCGCCCCCCCUCCCUAUUCCCCUUUGUGGCCGCCACCCCCCUCUCUCUCCCUCUCCUUCUUCCCCAAGUGAUUGCAGCACCACCCCUCAACCCUAGCCCCCCCCUCCUCUCCAUGGUGCAUCCUCCCCGCUUGGUACCCCGUCGUGUGGGUGCGAGUCUUCCAUUGGAGUUUGGAGGGAGGAAGAAGGAAGAAUGGAAGGAGGAAAGGAGGAACCCAAGGUGAUUUUAAGAUCAUUCUUUUUAGUAUUUGUGCUGCAAUCCAAUUGUUUACAUGUUUACCUAUGCGAAUCGGUAUAGGUGCUGUCCAGAUUUUUGUGGGAGGACGAACAACAGUAGUUCUAGGGAUUUCUGGGAAUUUUUCGUGGGCAAUUAGUGGGGAUCAGUGGGAGAAUCAUAUAGAUCUUUGUCAUACCUUUCCAACGAGUACUUAUGCGCUCGAUUCGGAGUUAUAAUUUAGGAGAUAUCGUUGUUUGAAUCCGGUUAUGUUGCUGUCCAAAAAAACAUAUUUUCAGGUGAAUGAACAGCAGUAGUAUUAGCAGUUUCUGGGGAUUUUUCGUGGGAAAUUAGUGAUAAUAAAUAUGAGAAUCAUGUAGAUCUUUGUCAUACCUUUCCAACGAGUACUUAUGCGCUCGUUUCGGAGUUAUAUUUUAGGAGAUAUCGUUGUUUGAAUCCGGUUAUGUUGCUGUCCAAAAAAAACAGAUUUUUCAGGUGGGUGAACAGCAGUAGUAUUAGCAGUUUCUGUGAAUUUUUCGUGGGUAAUUAGUGUUAACCAGUAUGAUAAUCAUGUAGGGCUUUGUCUUAUCUUUCUAAUGAGUACUUAUGCGCUUGAUUUGGAAUUAUAUUUUAAAAGAUAUCGCUGUUUGAAUCCGGGUAUGUCGCUGUCCAAAAGACAAAAAACAGAUUACAGGGUUCAUCUUGUGGACUGUUUUGGGCUAAUUAGAUGUUAGAAUUUAAUUAUAAAUUGUAUACAAAACUUGUGGAGAAUUUUAUGUAGAUGCCUCUGGAGUUUUUGUUUGUUACCACUGUUGUCAUAAUUUUAAAGUUAUGAAAUUAUUAAGCAGCGCCGCUGCAGUUUGGUGGGUGUGGGGAGAGAUGUAACCGCGGCGGGGUUUGAGUUUGUGCGUAGGUGCGGCGGGGUUUAUGAGCCUGAUUAUGUGAAAUAGGUGCACUAAGUUGUUUGUCAAAAACAGGUGGUGGACUUCCGGAUCGUACUUAGGGAUUUGCCCGAACUUCCGGUAAAGGCAAGUAAAUAUAGUGGUGGUUGCUACCGUUUGGUUUGCAUCCUAUUCCCUGUCAUUGAGUAUGCAUAAGUUUUUAAUUAUGUUAAUCAUUGAAUUCUAUGAUGAAGUUUAUUUGUUUGGAAGUAUUAAUUCUCAAUUGUCUAAUAUUGUGGAUGAUCAUAAUUUGGUUAUGAUAUAUGUGGUUGAUUCCAUCUUGGAUGAAGUUGAAGUAUCUUUUUGAAUCACGUUAUAUGAAGUGUUGUAGGCAUGACAUGCACAUCGCAUCAUCCAUCUUGCAUUUUGAAGUUAUGUCGUGAUCUUAUGGUCCGACCGUACCGGUACAUUUUUAGCAUCGUACGUUGCCCGAGGAGGGGUACGAUGCGGCUUCAUAUCCUUAGAGGUAUGAAGGCAGAAGUCAUCCUUGCAUUUGCAGACAUUUGCAUUCAUGAGGAAUAUAUGAAGUGUGACAUUACUAUGUUACUAUUGUGGUUUCUACCUGCGAGGUGUGGUAACUAGGUAUGUUGUACGUUGUAUACGUGCUGCAUCUUGGUAAUAAGAAGGUUGUGGAAUCAGGUGGUGGUAAAACAAUGUUCUUAUGUGGUUGAAUAGUUUGAUAUUAUUUUACUUGCUGAGAUGUGUCAUCUCACUCUUGCAUUACUCAAUGCAGGUACUUGAUACAUGUUGGGAAUAAGGGGAGUAGCAGCACGUCCACUUACACUCUCACAAUAACGCUGCCCAGGCGCAGCCAUGAUUUAAUUAGAAACUUAUUGUCAAAGGAAGUUUGUUUUUUUAUAUAGUCGUGCGCACUGGUUAAUUCAGUUGAGGUCGUACGUUUAUCUUCCCUUGCUAGCCGAUUAAUAAUACUUAGUAUGUUUUUGUCAUGAUAUAUAUUUAUACCCUGUUGCCCCCUUAUUUAUGCAAUCUUGCAAAGGGGAUGCUGCCGAAAUUUUAUAUAUGGACGUCAGAAGUGUAGUUCAGUAGCAUUCUGGGUUGUUUGUGGAACCCGGGGUGUUACAGGUGGUGUGUGCGAUACUCGAUGUGCUAUGCCGCUACAAG